UACGGAGGGUGCAAGCGUUAUCCGGAUUUACUGGGUUUAAAGGGUGUGUAGGCGGGCUUUUAAGUCAGUGGUGAAAUCUCCGGGCUCAACCUGGAAACUGCCAUUGAUACUAUUAGUCUUGAAUUUUGUUGAGGUAGGCGGAAUAAGUCAUGUAGCGGUGAAAUGCUUAGAUAUGACUUAGAACACCAAUUGCGAAGGCAGCUUGCUAAACAAAUAUUGACGCUGAGGCACGAAAGCGUGGGGAUCAAAC
This 250-nucleotide ribosomal RNA is filed under the name uncultured bacterium. RNAcentral's name for it is "partial 16S ribosomal RNA". It matches the Rfam family "Bacterial small subunit ribosomal RNA", at positions 524 to 773 of the family's 1533-position model. The record is from RNAcentral.